RNAcentral lists this ribosomal RNA (795 nucleotides) under uncultured bacterium. Its description in RNAcentral is "bacterial SSU rRNA". It matches the Rfam family "Bacterial small subunit ribosomal RNA", at positions 51 to 840 of the family's 1533-position model. The record is from RNAcentral.
ACACAUGCAAGUCGAGGGGCAGCGGGGUGUAGCAAUACACUGCCGGCGACCGGCGCACGGGUGCGUAACGCGUAUGCAACCUACCCAUAACAGGGGCAUAACACUGAGAAAUUGGUACUAAUUCCCCAUAACACUCGAAGAGGCAUCUCUUUGGGUUGAAAACUCCGGUGGUUAUGGAUGGGCAUGCGUUGUAUUAGCUAGUUGGUGAGGUAACGGCUCACCAAGGCGACGAUACAUAGGGGGACUGAGAGGUUAACCCCCCACAUUGGUACUGAGACACGGACCAAACUCCUACGGGAGGCAGCAGUGAGGAAUAUUGGUCAAUGGACGCAAGUCUGAACCAGCCAUGCCGCGUGCAGGAUGACGGCUCUAUGAGUUGUAAACUGCUUUUGUACGAGGGUAAACUCACCUACGUGUAGGUGACUGAAAGUAUCGUACGAAUAAGGAUCGGCUAACUCCGUGCCAGCAGCCGCGGUAAUACGGAGGAUUCAAGCGUUAUCCGGAUUUAUUGGGUUUAAAGGGUGCGUAGGCGGUUAGAUAAGUUAGAGGUGAAAUCCCGGGGCUUAACUCCGAAAUUGCCUCUAAUACUGUUUGACUAGAGAGUAGUUGCGGUAGGCGGAAUGUAUGGUGUAGCGGUGAAAUGCUUAGAGAUCAUACAGAACACCGAUUGCGAAGGCAGCUUACCAAACUAUAUCUGACGUUGAGGCACGAAAGCGUGGGGAGCAAACAGGAUUAGAUACCCUGGUAGUCCACGCAGUAAACGAUGAUAACUCGCUGUCGGCGAUACACAGUCGG